GACGAAGGGGGCUAGCGUUGUUCGGAAUUACUGGGCGUAAAGCGCGUGUAGGCGGUUUGCCGAGUCGGGUGUGAAAGCCUUGGGCUUAACCCAAGAAAUGCACUCGGUACUGGCAGACUAGAGGACCGGAGAGGAUAGUGGAAUUCCCAGUGUAGUGGUGAAAUACGUAGAGAUUGGGAAGAACACCAGUGGCGAAGGCGGCUAUCUGGACGGUUUCUGACGCUAAGACGCGAAAGCGUGGGGAGCAAACAGG
Molecule: ribosomal RNA, 253 nt
Filed under: uncultured bacterium
Lineage: Bacteria
Description: partial 16S ribosomal RNA
Rfam family: Bacterial small subunit ribosomal RNA
Source: RNAcentral